AUGCAGAGGGAGUCAGUACUUUUAUGAAUAUACAUCGUGCUAUUUGCUGUUUCCCGUAAAGAAAUAUCUCUUAAUGUGAUCUCCCACAUUUUCGAAGCAAAAAGGUUGUCACUCCUGUGAAAGUCAGGAUGCAUCAAAGCAAUCUUCACAGCAUUUGUCGCUCCAACGAAGCGAGACAAGAAGUUUCUCCAUGGAUUAUAGGCAAUUUUUCAGGAACAGAAAAUAGACAUUCUUCUCUGGAGGAUUUUCUCUGACCAAAGUGGCAUCAAAGAAUAGAUAUCCUUAAUAAGAACUGGCGACUAGGAAAACAUUGGACAUAGAUGUUAUCAUGCCAAGGAGAGUGCUGUGAGCCUGGCCCAACUAGAGAAUCUGUGCAAACAGCUGUAUGAAACCACAGACACAACCACUCGACUCCAGGCAGAGAAAGCCUUGGUUGAAUUUACCAACAGCCCUGAUUGCCUGAGCAAGUGCCAGCUACUCC
This 481-nucleotide small RNA is filed under the name Pan troglodytes (chimpanzee). RNAcentral's name for it is "processed transcript". Lineage: Eukaryota; Metazoa; Chordata; Mammalia; Primates; Hominidae. The record is from RNAcentral.